CGUGGUGGAAAAAGCAACCUUUCCCUGACCAUGGCCAUCUCUGGUAGGGGUUACCACUGAACAAGCUGGACUGGUAUGGACUGAACACCUCCUUAAUCUGACCGGUGUAACCAUUGGUCCUCGUGUCAUUGCAACAUUAAAUAAAGUACCUAUGGUUAAACGAACAUUCCUUAAUAUCCGACCUGUAGAAGCCAUGGUGAAGAAGCUAUGAAUUAAUAUCCGACCAGUAGAAGCUGAACCAAUGCUCGCUCACAGCUUCGCAGCUCUCUCGGUGUCGCGGUGUUAUGACGUCAUUAUUUUGCUCCCGGGAGCUAAUGGGAUGGUAGGUCCCGCCCACUGUGACACUGCAGAUGCACACUGCAGAUGUACACACACGUCUGGUCAAUGGAUUAUACAGGGGCGACGUAUGUGAUGAGAUGAGCUCAAGGCCCCCUGGGGAUUCCUCAGGAGCCCUAGGGGUUCACCAGGACCCCUUCAGCAGGACCCCUGGGGGUUCACCAGGAGAAAACUAGUGGAAUGGCCCCAUGAUAUUCUUCUUUCCAGAAGUGCUCAUGGGAACAGGCCACUGGUCCAUGGUGGAUUACUGAACCCUUUGUCCAGAGAUCCUACCGACUGCGUUGUCAUCUGUCACUCAACCCUCAAACCCUCAAAUUACUUUAAACAAUCAAAAACACUGUUCAUGUAAAAACACAAUAUUUCACAACACAGUGUGGUGUGUUGUAAAAUAUUGGCGUUGUGUAAAUAAAAGUGUAUAUAAAGCAAUACUAGUCUACAAGUCUAAUUGUAAAUGACGCAAUGUCCCAUCUGUAGCCUGUGAGGGUUCAGGGCAGUGGUGUCGCCGGGCUGUUAAAUAAAAAUCAACUUUCUUUUUUCUUUUUCUUUUCUUUGCUUGCUUUACACUAGAAAUAAACCUGGGGAUUCCUGGGGCAUCUCAUAAUAGCCUAGUUCUUCUAGAUAGUCCUUCUGGCAAGAGAAUAAACGAUUUAAAAGUCCCAUGACAUGAAAACCUCACUUUAUGAGGUUUUCUAACCUAAAUAUGAGUUCCCCUAGCCUGCCUAUGGUCCCCCAGUGGCUAAAACUUGCGUUUGGUGUAAAACGAGCACUAGCUGUUCUGCUCGCCUUUGAAAAAACGGAGGCUCAAGCGCGCUGAUUUGGAAUGUCUUUAUUUAUGUCGUCAUAAAGCAUCUAAGCUCCUCCCCUUACUCUGCCUGGCCCGCCCAGAGAAGUUGGCCCGCCAAUGAGACACGACCGUGCUAGCGCCACAUGUGUGUGUGUAAAUACACACACUGUAACGCAAGUGUUUCUUGUCGGUUCUUUGACGUCUCUUGUAUUUCCACAACGAGACAGUGGGGGUUAUCUGAGCCAUGGUUGAGAAGGAAUUGGGGGAAAGGAACUUUGGCUUUCACUCGCUGAAGUACAUGAACUGCGACAUGCCGCCGGUUGCCGCGAGGCACCAUCGCCCGGCAGCGGGCAGCCGGCAGCAGGCAGCGCCCGGUUCAGCCUACUUCAGAUUGAUGUGAAAGUGGAAGAACCAGAGACGUCACAGAACCCGACAAAGUCGUUUGUGAUUCAUAAUAUUGUCUGGAGGCGCACACAGCUUUUGGCCGUGAUAAUAUGUAUUAUGUGAUAUAGAUAUCUAUGUAUUAUAUGAUAUUAUUUAGAUAUAGAGCUCCAGGACUGUAACGCAAGUGUUGUACACUUCCUUGUUAUUUGGAUAACUGUUCUGCUUUUGGUGUUAUGGCGCAUAACACGUCGGACUCUCGUCUCUGGUAUUUCUACAAUGAGACUCGUAGUGGGGGUUAUCUCAGCCAAGGUUGAGAAUGGAUUUGACUCCCUCAAGAACAUGAACCACGACAUGGAGGAGAAAGGGAUUGUUGGCGGCGAAUGUCUCCUGCUUGAGCCCCGCUGAGGGAACACCGCCGGAGUCGGAGGUGCCUAAGCGCUGCCCGGCAACAAUCCCUUUCUCCUCCUUGUCGCGGUUCAGUCUACUUCACAUUGAUGUGGACGUGGAAGAACCAGGAACGUCGGAGAACCCAACGCGGUCGUUUGAGAUUCAUAAUAUCGGCUCACACAGCUUUUGGCCGUGAUAAUAUAUAUUAUAUGAUAUAGAUAUCUAUGUAGGUUAUAUGAUAAUAUUUAGGCAUAGAGCUACAGGACUCCCGUGUGUUCUAGAAUAUUUACAGAACACGGCUAAAGUCUGUGUGCGCCUCGCCAUUGCAAUACAUCCACUGUAAACAGCGCAUGGUACCGUGGCUGCAAGCUGCUCAGGGCCACACCCCCACCCUCCUCCUUGACCCGCCUCGCUCCUCCUCAUUUGCAUUAUAGCUACAGACACCAAAACAGCGCAUUUAGGGGAAGCUCAAUGUGUGACUGGCUCGGAGUGGCUGUAACUCUGCACCACGGCUGAAUUUCGGGAACGUCUUUGAAUACUGUGUUAGUUGCCCACUAAUACCUAUAUUAAAGAAUACAUAAAAUAGCAUGUCAUGGGACCUUUAAAAACAUAACCAGACUGCAUUUUACCACCUCAAGUGAAUUAACCUAUCCUAUCUCCAGUCAUAUAUAUAUAUAUAUAUAUAUAUAUAUAUAUAUAUAUAUAUAUAUAUAUGCUUUUUGGCAAUAAAUCUUAUACCGUUGGAAAGCCUGUUUAGUUCCCUUUCAAAUGGGGCCCCAUUUGUAAGGAACAUGCAUUUGUGGAAUGAGCAGCAGCGCUGAGUAUGUGGGUUGCGCCCAUGAAAAAUUUGCCGUUGCCAAACAGGUAAUUUUGCCGUUGCUAUUGACACUUGAUUUGAGCUUCUGGUACCCCCAGGUGCUGCCAAUCAGGUGCCUGAUUGGCACCUGAUUGGGCAACUUCAGGCUGGUGUUACGCAAAAACAUAAGACACAAGUUGCGGCAUUAUUUGGAGUGUGCCCUGGUACCCUCUCCUAACUGAAGGC
RNAcentral lists this long non-coding RNA (2933 nucleotides) under Gadus morhua (Atlantic cod). Its description in RNAcentral is "lncRNA (ENSGMOG00000029658.1)". The record is from RNAcentral. Lineage: Eukaryota; Metazoa; Chordata; Actinopteri; Gadiformes; Gadidae.